GAUGAACGCUGGCGGCGUGCCUAAUACAUGCAAGUCGAGCGAACAGACGAGGAGCUUGCUCCUCUGACGUUAGCGGCGGACGGGUGAGUAACACGUGGAUAACCUACCUAUAAGACUGGGAUAACUUCGGGAAACCGGCGCUAAUACCGGAUAAUAACUUGAACGGCAUGGUUCAAUAGUGAAAGACGGUUUUGCUGUCACUUAUAGAUGGAUCCGCGCCGCAUUAGCUAGUUGGUAAGGUAAGGGCUUACCAAGGCGACGAUGCGUAGCCGACCUGAGAGGGUGAUCGGCCACACUGGAACUGAGACACGGUCCAGACUCCUACGGGAGGCAGCAGUAGGGAAUCUUCCGCAAUGGGCGAAAGCCUGACGGAGCAACGCCGCGUGAGUGAUGAAGGUCUUCGGAUCGUAAAACUCUGUUAUUAGGGAAGAACAAAUGUGUAAGUAACUAUGCACGUCUUGACGGUACCUAAUCAGAAAGCCACGGCUAACUACGUG
RNAcentral lists this ribosomal RNA (497 nucleotides) under uncultured bacterium. RNAcentral's name for it is "partial 16S ribosomal RNA". It matches the Rfam family "Bacterial small subunit ribosomal RNA", at positions 28 to 507 of the family's 1533-position model. The record is from RNAcentral.